RNAcentral lists this transfer RNA (95 nucleotides) under Gammaproteobacteria bacterium. Its description in RNAcentral is "tRNA-Sec". It matches the Rfam family "Selenocysteine transfer RNA". RNAcentral also lists the same sequence under 1 other name. Lineage: Bacteria; Pseudomonadati; Pseudomonadota; Gammaproteobacteria. The record is from RNAcentral.
GGAAGAGCGAUGCCCCUGGUGGGGUGCCUGGCCUUCAAAGCCAGUGAGAUGCUUUAAAAAGUGUCUGGUGGGUUCGACUCCUACCUCUUCCGCCA